Corvus hawaiiensis (hawaiian crow) is the source of this 333-nucleotide long non-coding RNA. RefSeq lists it as uncharacterized. The transcript has 3 exons. NCBI's taxonomy places the organism in Eukaryota, Metazoa, Chordata, Aves, Passeriformes, Corvidae. The record is from RefSeq and is a predicted model, not a curated record.
GUGAACCGGAACUGUAUGUGAAAAGAACAAAAUAGACUACAAACAGUAAUAAACUGCAGGACUUUUGAUAUAACCUGUAAAAGAUGGUGAAAAGCCUGGAGGGGACAUGUUAUGUGGAGUGGCUGAGGUCACUUGGUUUGUUCAGCCUGGAGAAAAGGAAACUGAGGAGAGGCCUCAUUGCGGUCUUCAACAUCCUCACAAGGGGAAUUGGAGGGGCAGUCCUACUUCUUGCCAGUGCAUUUUGCUGAACUUUCAUAAAUUCUGAACUUGCAUAACACCACAGACAGUCAAUACUUUCAAAAACUGAAGAUAUCUUGUUUCUCUGAAGCAGUA